This 512-nucleotide ribosomal RNA is filed under the name uncultured bacterium. Its description in RNAcentral is "partial 16S ribosomal RNA". It matches the Rfam family "Bacterial small subunit ribosomal RNA", at positions 28 to 507 of the family's 1533-position model. The record is from RNAcentral.
GAUGAACGCUGGCGGCGUGCCUAAUACAUGCAAGUCGAACGAAACUUCUUUAUCACCGAGUGCUUGCACUCACCGAUAAAGAGUUGAGUGGCGAACGGGUGAGUAACACGUGGGCAACCUGCCCAAAAGAGGGGGAUAACACUUGGAAACAGGUGCUAAUACCGCAUAACCAUAGUUACCGCAUGGUAACUAUGUAAAAGGUGGCUAUACUACCGCUUUUGGAUGGGCCCGCGGCGCAUUAGCUAGUUGGUAGGGUAAAGGCCUACCAAGGCAAUGAUGCGUAGCCGAAUUGAGAGGUUGAUCGGCCACAUUGGGACUGAGACACGGCCCAAACUCCUACGGGAGGCAGCAGUAGGGAAUCUUCCACAAUGGGCGAAAGCCUGAUGGAGCAACGCCGCGUGGGUGAAGAAGGUCUUCGGAUCGUAAAACCCUGUUGUUAGAGAAGAAAGUGCGUGAGAGUAACUGUUCACGUUUCGACGGUAUCUAACCAGAAAGCCACUGCUAACUACGUG